GAUCCUGGCUCAGAUUGAACGCUGGCGGCAGGCCUAACACAUGCAAGUCGAACGGUAACAGGAAGAAGCUUGCUUCUUUGCUGACGAGUGGCGGACGGGUGAGUAAUGUCUGGGAAACUGCCUGAUGGAGGGGGGAUAACUACUGGAAACGGUAGCUAAUACCGCAUAACGUCGCAAGACCAAAGAGGGGGGACCCUUCGGGCCGUCUUUGCCACUCGGAUGUGCCCACGAUGGGAGUUAGCUAGUAGGUGGGGUAACGGG
Molecule: ribosomal RNA, 261 nt
Filed under: uncultured bacterium
Lineage: Bacteria
Description: partial 16S ribosomal RNA
Rfam family: Bacterial small subunit ribosomal RNA
Source: RNAcentral